Pteropus vampyrus (large flying fox) is the source of this 118-nucleotide ribosomal RNA. Lineage: Eukaryota; Metazoa; Chordata; Mammalia; Chiroptera; Pteropodidae. The record is from Ensembl.
GUCUACGGCCAUAAUACUCUGAACAAGCCUGAUCCUUUCUGAUCUCAAAGCUAAGCAGGGUUGCGCCUGAUUAGUACUUGGAUGGGAGACCGCCUAGAAAGACCAAGUGCUAUAGGUG